GGCCGCUUGAAACAGCACAGUCGGCUGUCUUCUGAUUCUGGAGGAUGUCUGGGCUUGCAGGGGCACUGCUGGCC
This 74-nucleotide long non-coding RNA is filed under the name Mustela putorius furo (domestic ferret). Its description in RNAcentral is "lncRNA (ENSMPUG00000024832.1)". Lineage: Eukaryota; Metazoa; Chordata; Mammalia; Carnivora; Mustelidae. The record is from RNAcentral.